GUGCUGAUUGGUGUGUUUACAAACCUUGAGCUAGAUACAGAGUGCCGAUUGGUGUAUUUACAAUCCCUGAGCUAGACAUAAAGGUUCUCCAAGUCCCCACCAGACUCAGGAGCACCCAGCUGGCUUCACCCGGUGGAUCCCACACCCGGGCCGCAGAACCAAUCCAGGAAGUUGCAAGAGCAACCUUGUGGGCCAAGUGAUGCCAAGAAGGAUCAGAACAAGGCGCAGUGGCCAGAGCUCCAGCAACCAUCUUGGACAAUGAAAAAACCUUCACGAUGAUAGCCAUGGCGAAACACAGUGGAGUAGGAGGAUAAAAGAGACUGAGAACCAGAUAACCACGGAGUUCCAUACCAGCUCUCCUGAUACCUUUCAUAAAAGAGUGAAAUGAACAUC
This is a long non-coding RNA of Gorilla gorilla gorilla (western lowland gorilla), 393 nucleotides long. RefSeq lists it as uncharacterized. The transcript is spliced from 3 exons. NCBI's taxonomy places the organism in Eukaryota, Metazoa, Chordata, Mammalia, Primates, Hominidae. The record is from RefSeq and is a predicted model, not a curated record.